AGGACGAACGCUGGCGGCGUGCUUAACACAUGCAAGUCGAGCGGAAAGGCCCUUCGGGGUACUCGAGCGGCGAACGGGUGAGUAACACGUGAGUAAUCUGCCCCUAGCUCUGGGAUAGCUCCGGGAAACCGGGAUUAAUACCAGAUACGACCACUUUAAACAUCUGCUGUGGUGGAAAGAAUUUCGGCUAGGGAUGAGCUCGCGGCCUAUCAGCUUGUUGGUGAGGUAACGGCUCACCAAGGCGACGACGGGUA
This 254-nucleotide ribosomal RNA is filed under the name uncultured bacterium. Its description in RNAcentral is "partial small subunit ribosomal RNA". It matches the Rfam family "Bacterial small subunit ribosomal RNA", at positions 26 to 285 of the family's 1533-position model. The record is from RNAcentral.